GAUGAAGAACGUAGCGAAAUGCGAUAAGUAAUGUGAAUUGCAGAAUUCAGUGAAUCAUCGAAUCUUUGAACGCACAUUGCGCCCGCCAGUAUUCUGGCGGGCAUGCCUGUUCGAGCGUCAUUUCAACCCUCAAGCCCCCGGGCUUGGUGUUGGGGAUCGGCGUGCCCUCGCGGCGCGCCGUCCCCUAAAUCUAGUGGCGGUCUCGCUGUAGCUUCCUCUGCGUAGUAGCAACACUCGCACUGGAUCGCAGCGCGGCCACGCCGUGGGGGGGCGCGCUUCUGAAAGUUUGACCUCGGAUCAGGUAGGAAUACCCGCUGAACUUAAGCAUAUCAAUAAGCGGAGGA
Molecule: unclassified non-coding RNA, 344 nt
Filed under: soil metagenome
Description: partial contains 5.8S ribosomal RNA, internal transcribed spacer 2, and large subunit ribosomal RNA
Rfam family: 5.8S ribosomal RNA (bases 1-120)
Source: RNAcentral